AGUAGGGUGAUGGGUCUCUAGACUUUUUCCUGACAAACCCCUGUUUUCCAAGGUCAGAAGAAGCCUGGGCCUGAGGGGAAAGCAGGAAUGUCAAUGUGCCUCCCAGCCACAGCCAUGUGAAGACUGGGCAUCCAUGGACCCAUUUCUGAAAUGAUGAAUGGGAUUACUCCAAAUCUUGAGCAGCCAAGGAGGAGGCUCUGAGCGGCAUUCAGAGUGUAUGAAAUAAACAAGAAUUCACAGUACUAAAGUACUCCCCAGUUUAUGGUCCUGGAGGUAUUAAAAAGCAGAAACACUUUGGAAAGAGCCCCUGCCCUGUGAGCAGCGAAUGGCCCGAGAUCCCGGAAGGAGAAAGGCAGCAGACCCGAGAGGGGAAAGCUGCGGCGGUGGCGUUGACUCGACUCCGGGUGAGCCCGCAGAACACUUAUGAAAUGGAGAAAGAGGGCUGUAGGAAUGAGGGGAGUUUACAAUUCUUCCAAAGAAUGCUGUUUACCUCUAACUGCAAGGAUCGAGCUUAGAACCCGUCACCCUCUGCAGGAGAAAUAGGAGAAAGCCUGUUUCUGUAGAACGUCGUCCUGGAAACCCUGUAGCAUCACCUACUCUGUCCUACAGAGCAUGAUGGAUAGGAAUCGGCUCAACAGACAAUCACUCCUCCACGGCCCAGGCCUUAUGCCCAUUCUGGUACCUUGCAGAGAGCCCAAAAGCAAGCAAGCAGUUCCAUACUUUAUGUUUUUAAAAAGGGCUCACAGCCUGUGUGGUUCCCAGGGAGAGUUACAGUGUCAGAAAUCCACAGGCAGCAGCUCGGCUCUGUCCUCUGGGGUCACUCACCAGGAGUGGACUCUACUCCAUGGCAGCGAGUUUGAGCUUUUGAGUUUUGAUCUUUGUAAAACCAUAUGAAGCAUCACUCAUGUAAGAACCCAGAAUUGCAAACAUGCGUAUGAAACAGGGAUCUCUUGUACAGGGAAUUAAGAAGUUUAGGAGUUUGUGUGAGAUGGGCCAGAAGGAAGGUGUUCAUUUUAAUCAUAAGUAUUUUUGUACCUCCCACUUGUGUAUUGCUAAAUUUCACACUUAAAAUGAGUCUUCCUUCCCCUUCCCUCAAUUGCUCCUCAAACCCACUGGCAAGCUGUAUAAUUCUAUGCAAACAAAGAGAAAGCAAAGGUCAAGAACUGAAAGAGAGAAAGGCAAGAGAAAGGAAGAAUGAAAAAGAGACAGAGGUACAAGAUUCAAGGACAAAGAAAAGGUCUCCUCUUUACAAUGACUACCUUGUUUUUUCCCAAAAUACAGUGUGAUCUUAAAAUAGUUUAUCUUACCUCUCAGUUUUAUAAAAUGAAUUAUUUAAUCCUUUACUGAGUGGUACAAGUUUUAAAUGCAAGAAACCACUUCUAACAUUGAAGUUGCAUUUUAAAAGUUUAUGAUACUGAAUAUUACAAUACUGGUGUCAUGUAUAUGUAUCGUGUGCACAUCUAGGGAGUUUGAUUUUACGUUUUUAGUCCAGAAUCCAGAUCAUUCAUAAAAUAUCUUAACAUACAUUUAUUUACAAGAAAGAGGUUUAUACAAAUGUGAUGAAGAAAGCUGGUAGUGUCCAGCUAUCAAAAG
Echinops telfairi (small Madagascar hedgehog) is the source of this 1593-nucleotide long non-coding RNA. RefSeq lists it as uncharacterized. The transcript has 5 exons. NCBI's taxonomy places the organism in Eukaryota, Metazoa, Chordata, Mammalia, Afrosoricida, Tenrecidae. The record is from RefSeq and is a predicted model, not a curated record.